RNAcentral lists this ribosomal RNA (389 nucleotides) under Prymnesium sp. Its description in RNAcentral is "partial small subunit ribosomal RNA". It matches the Rfam family "Eukaryotic small subunit ribosomal RNA", at positions 582 to 975 of the family's 1831-position model. The record is from RNAcentral. Lineage: Eukaryota; Haptophyta; Prymnesiales; Prymnesiaceae.
AUUCCAGCUCCAAUAGCGUAUAUUAAAGUUGUUGCAGUUAAAACGCUCGUAGUCGGAUUUCGGGGCGGCUUCGCCGGUCUGCCGAUGGGUAUGCACUGGCGAGGGCGUCCUUCCUUCCGGAGACUGGCCCUACUCUUAACUGAGCGGGGUCGGGAGUCGGAUCGUUUACUUUGAAAAAAUCAGAGUGUUUCAAGCAGGCAUAUCGUUCUUGCAUGGAUUAGCAUGGGAUAAUGAAAUAGGACUUUGGUGCUAUUUUGUUGGUUUCGAACACCGAGGUAAUGAUUAACAGGGACAGUCAGGGGCACUCGUAUUCCGCCGAGAGAGGUGAAAUUCUCAGACCAGCGGAAGACGAACUACUGCGAAAGCAUUUGCCAGGGAUGUUUUCAUUA